Molecule: ribosomal RNA, 301 nt
Filed under: uncultured bacterium
Lineage: Bacteria
Description: partial 16S ribosomal RNA
Rfam family: Bacterial small subunit ribosomal RNA
Source: RNAcentral
CAGUAGCCACGGGAAUACGUAGGUGGCAAGCGUUGUCCGGAAUUAUUGGGCGUAAAGCGCGCGCAGGCGGAUAGGUCAGUCUGUCUUAAAAGUUCGGGGCUUAACCCCGUGAUGAGAUGGAAACUGCCAAUCUAGAGUAUCGGAGAGGAAAGUGGAAUUCCUAGUGUAGCGGUGAAAUGCGUAGAUAUUAGGAAGAACACCAGUGGCGAAGGCGACUUUCUGGACGAAAACUGACGCUGAGGCGCGAAAGCCAGGGGAGCGAACGGGAUUAGAUACCCGUGUAGUCCCUGUCUCUUAUACA